ACUGGGCCACGCAGGGCGGCCGCGUCAAGACCGACUGGUCCAAGGCGCCCUUCGUCGCCAACUACGACAACAUCCACCUCAACAUCUGCGAGUGCGGCUCCGGCGGGUACGGCGGCGGCUGCGCCACCGGCUGCCCGGCCGCCGCCGCCACGCCGUACAACGGGGCGUGCCAGCUGAGCCCCGCGGAGCUGGGGCAGAUGCAGUGGGUGCAGGGCACCUACAGGAUCUACGACUACUGCGUCGACUACAAGCGGUGGGUCAAUGGCCAGAAGCCGGUCG
RNAcentral lists this long non-coding RNA (279 nucleotides) under Setaria italica (foxtail millet). RNAcentral's name for it is "long non-coding RNA (SITA_LNC000243)". Lineage: Eukaryota; Viridiplantae; Streptophyta; Magnoliopsida; Poales; Poaceae. The record is from RNAcentral.